CUCAUCGCAACUCUCUUUUCCCAUGAAACAGGAAAGAGAAGACUCCGGAAUCCCCUCCCUCAGCAAGGAAGUGGGUGCACUUUCCUGGGAGUCCGGCAAGGGCCUCUUCUCUUUCACACUCUGAGAUUCCAAGGGUAGCAGCCCUCUUCGAGGUGCCUACAGCCUGUCUGUGCAUGGAGGAACCGGCAGAAAAGAGGCUAACACCUGCAAACUACCAAUGAUUCCAAGGGUCUGAUGCAAGACCUCAACCACCCUAGAGAUGACUCAGUGGUCAAGCUGAGCUGAAGGGUGGCCUCUUCUCCAAAGGGAGCAGGAAGACUGUCACUUUUGCCCGAAGCUCACUGGCACAGCUGGAGAGGCUGCCUAUAUGCAGUUUCUCCAGAAACUUGCAGAAGCUUCUUUUUGUCGCUAGGCUUUUGAAGUUGGGCAGCAAUGUACUUUCGUGUGGGUGUUUUCAACCACUGCGGUGUUCCUGCAGCUGCAAGUUCCUGAGGCUUUGAGGGCUCAGAGAUGUGAAUAGACUUGGAUCUCUUAUAGAGAAUCAAAUAGCCUAAGGUCCUAUCUAACUGAGCCCUCUCUGUCAGGUAUCACUCAUCCCUCUGUCCCCAACUUCCAGUAUUGUGUUGCUGUCAUCUCUUCCCGAUAUCUUUCUUAUCAAGUUGAUGUCUUUUAAAAAAUGAUUUGCUGUCCAGAUGCAGUGGUUCAUGCCUGUAAUCCCAACAUUUUGGGAGGCUGAGGUGGGAGGAUCCCUUGAGACCAAGAGUUUGAGAUCAGUCUGGGUGACACAGUGAAAUUCCAUCUCCACAAAAAUAAAACAAGCAGCGGGGCAUGAUGGUGCACUCCCGGAGUCCCAGCUACUUGGAAGGCUGAGGUGGGAGGAUCAAUGGAGCCCAGGAGGUGGAGACUGUGGAACUAUGACUGCACCUCUAAACGCCAGCCUCAAUUACGAAGCAAG
Molecule: long non-coding RNA, 955 nt
Organism: Callithrix jacchus (white-tufted-ear marmoset)
Lineage: Eukaryota; Metazoa; Chordata; Mammalia; Primates; Cebidae
Source: RefSeq, a predicted model, not a curated record